GAAGACCCGGAGGAGCCGCGGGCUGCGGUGGGAGGGGCUGCGCGGCGGUUGAGACGGCGGCGGUGCCGGGAGGGGUCGGUGAGGGUCCCGAGGUGGCCCGAGCUGAGUGAGCCCGAUGCUUUUGGAAACGCCGGACGGGCGACCAGCGCAGCCGGGAGCCGGGCCCAGGCGCGGGGGGUCGGGCGCGGCUGCCCUUUGGAUGGAAGUUAAGGUUUCCUGCGAAGUCCACCCGGCGUUUCCGAGCCAAUAUGAAGGCAAAUCAUGUUCAGACCCAGGCAAAGGUUCCUGCUGACCCAGGCUCUCACCCGCACGUUGUCCUUUACUGUCCUCCUGAGGGUGUCUGGAGCUUCCGUGCUGUGUGCUCUCCACCUCCAUGCUGGGUCACCACCGACUCCUGCUGUCCAGGGCUUCCAGUGGACUCUCUGAGGCACUGAUGUGGAAUCUUCCCCAUUCGGUGCACCAAGAGCAGCCGCACACGGUGUGCGCUGACAUGAAGAGCUGCCAGAUCCAACAGUUAGCGUGUUCCUGUUAAUGGAAAAUAUUGGUGGUGUGAGUUCC
This is a long non-coding RNA of Cebus imitator (Panamanian white-faced capuchin), 558 nucleotides long. RefSeq lists it as uncharacterized. NCBI's taxonomy places the organism in Eukaryota, Metazoa, Chordata, Mammalia, Primates, Cebidae. The record is from RefSeq and is a predicted model, not a curated record. The transcript is spliced from 3 exons.